AAGUACCUACGGGGGGCAGCAGUGGGGAAUAUUGCACAAUGGGGGAAACCCUGAUGCAGCGACGCCGCGUGAGCGAAGAAGUAUUUCGGUAUGUAAGGCUCUAUCAGCAGGGAAGAAAAAAAUGACGGUACCUGAGUAAGAAGCACCGGCUAAAUACGUGCCAGCAGCCGCGGUAAUACGGAGGAUCCGAGCGUUAUCCGGAUUCAUUGGGUUUAAAGGGUGCGUAGGUUGUUUUAUAAGUUAGCGGUGAAAUACCGAUGCUCAACAUCGGGGCUGCCGCUAAUACUGUAGGACUAGAGAUCGGA
RNAcentral lists this ribosomal RNA (305 nucleotides) under uncultured bacterium. RNAcentral describes it as "bacterial SSU rRNA". It matches the Rfam family "Bacterial small subunit ribosomal RNA", at positions 333 to 652 of the family's 1533-position model. The record is from RNAcentral.